CCGCCGGUGGCGGCGGCGGCGGCCGGCGCUUCGACCCCGCACAGCAGCUGGAAACCGGCGACUUUCUGCGGGUCCUGCAAACUGCCGACCAGCCGGGCCAAGCGCUGCCUCCACGACAUGGGAGUUAGUCCCCUCCUCCCACUCCACUUGCUAGGCUGUGGCCAUGGGAAGAUGAAGAAAUCAUCAUCCGGGCCCUCAAGUUGCUCACAGUAUCAAUGGGAAAAAGAUCCACCUCAGGAGUACAGAGCACAUGACUUUGCUGAUUUGAUUUCUUUUCCUUCUCUUGAACCUCCAUCUGGCUUUUGAUGUAUCCUUUUUUCUGUUGCUCACCCGGGAAGGCUAACUUAAAAAAAUUUUUUUUAAAUAGAAAUUCUCGCUAACAGCUUGAGGGCACAUGGAAGAAAUACAGUUGCAGUGAUUCUAUGGUUACAAUUAUUGUGCCUUCAGAACUCCCAGAAAAAGGUUCCUUUGGUAAAUACUUCUGGUCUAAUAGACCCUAAAGAACUGAAGACUCUUGGGGACGUGUGUUUGUGUGUAUCUACAGAUGUCCACAUAUAUAUAUAUUAUUUAUUUAUAUAUAUAUUUGUAUGGGGUACACACAUAUAUAUCACAGAAGCAGAAAUACAGGUGUGAAAUAAGAUCUUCAUGUAGCAGAACACAUACCUCAAAUUAAUGCCAGCCUCCAAUAAAAUAUCAUCUGUAUCUAAAUAGCAUGUUAAAGAAAGACUUGUCUAAUAAAACCAUCGAGGGUAGAUUUAUUAGAAAUGUAAUUAGCACCCACAAUUCUUCAUUAGUUUCAUUUCAGUGAUUAUGAGGCUAUAUAUGUUAACAUGGGUUAUUAUGCAA
Long non-coding RNA from Phacochoerus africanus (Common warthog), 846 nucleotides. RefSeq lists it as uncharacterized. The transcript is spliced from 3 exons. The record is from RefSeq and is a predicted model, not a curated record. Lineage: Eukaryota; Metazoa; Chordata; Mammalia; Artiodactyla; Suidae.